GGGCAUGCUUGAGUCCGUACCCGAUGAUUGGCGGCCGGAGGGCAACUGCAACCUCGCAUGCCUCGGGUCCAGAGGUCAAAGGCACCACAACCAACUGCCUCUUCAGCCAUAUGCUGGGUGUCCGUGUUGAACGUAGAAGAUGGUUGCCCUUCAAGCAUCAACAAAUUGGAAAUUUCAAGCCCUGAUGAGAUUACAAGCAGGGCGGAAAGGGAAUCAACACCAUCACGCCAAAACAUUGAAGGUGAAUAAGUGAACCACUAUUUAAGUAAAUAGACGAAUCAUAUUUUGUUAGAACUAACCAGUUGCUGCUAAUAUAAUCCUCUCCAAGAAGAUCAGUUUCGGACAAUAUAAUCUGCUAUUUACUUUCUAAUUUCUAUGUAUUUAAGCAUGUUCAAACUCAGUACAAUUGUACAAAUGGAUAUAUUUUGAUUUGGUGACUUGCUAGAGACGAUUGUUCUGGACAGAACCUGGACCUUAUGAUAUCUACCUAUAUAUAUGUUUCUGGCCGCAUGUCUACUUAUUCUCUUAAGGCCACAGUAGGACCGAUCGACACUAGAUAUAUCUAAUAACUGUAUCAUGGUUUUCGCAAUUUUUUUUAAAAAAAAUAACUGUAUCAUGGGAUCACAUGCCAUUCUUUUUGCUAAAAAAUCACCUGGCUUUAUUGGAAAUGAAUUACCAGGACAGUUCUUGUGCACAUUAUGCUUGGUUAACACCUUUCAUUUAUCACAAACUGAUGGGGAAUAAACACUAAGUAUGCAUAUCUUUCUAUCCUUCUGAUCAUAGCCAUCUUUGGUGUCAAGUGAUAUUAAAAUUCUGAAACUACACACACAUAGUUUAGGGGUUGUUCAUACAAUAAUCUUGAUAAGUAUGUGUCUGUAAAAUCAGCAGCAGUGGUUGUUCCUUUAGGUUGCUAGAAAUGCUUUUAGCUACAACAUUAUUUCUGUCAAAAACAUUCCAGCUGCCACAUGUGUACUCGUUUCAUUGUGUAGUGUAUUUCCGAAAAUGAUAAUUCCUACGGUUCAAAGUUUUUGGACAAAGUUUGAAACUCGAAGCACGACUGCCGUAGUAUGAUGAAGAAAUGAUGUCGCGCACUGGAGGGUGUUGCCGUCGGCCGUGCGUUAGGCGUUUGUUCUACUGGAAGUCGCUCCCAGGAGGGAGUCCAUGGUCUAUGCCUCCAGAAGCAAAGAAGGACUCCAACUACAUCAUUGACGCAGCAGCCGAGCAGAGCAUGAAAGCAUGUCGUUGAUACAAAUAUUCAGUUGCCACGUCCAUUGAUACAACAGCGGGGCAGAUCAUGAAUGUCAGAGACACGAUGGAGGUGACACUACCUUUCUCGUCUUGGCAUCAUGCAGAUACUGGUAGUUUAGAUGUUAUUUGCCACACCGCGGAGAUCUCAUGUUCAAGCCCAUCGGCAGUGCAGAAUUUUGGUCGAUGUAAAUGAUUUUACUUGAGCAGACACUUCUCCUCCCGUCUCAUUUACCAUCAGUAUUGGAAUUGGAUGUCGUUCCUAUUACACAACAAAAUGGGCAAGGU
Molecule: long non-coding RNA, 1533 nt
Organism: Triticum dicoccoides
Lineage: Eukaryota; Viridiplantae; Streptophyta; Magnoliopsida; Poales; Poaceae
Exons: 3
Source: RefSeq, a predicted model, not a curated record